This is a long non-coding RNA of Dreissena polymorpha, 5435 nucleotides long. RefSeq lists it as uncharacterized. Lineage: Eukaryota; Metazoa; Mollusca; Bivalvia; Myida; Dreissenidae. The transcript is spliced from 6 exons. The record is from RefSeq and is a predicted model, not a curated record.
ACUUGGUUAUGAAUACCCAGAGCAUGCUACAUCCAUGCUGACACAGAAAGGCAGUAAUGACUAUGCUGUGAACACCCAGAGCAAGAUAUAUCCAUGCUGACACAGAAAGGAAGUAAUGACUAUGCUGUGAACACCCAGAGCAAGAUAUAUCCAUGCUGACACAGAAAGGCAGUAAUGACUAUGCUGUGAACACCCAGAGCAAGAUAUAUCAAUGCUGACACAGAAAGGAAGUAAUGACUAUGCUGUGAACACCCAGAGCAAGAUAUAUCCAUGCUGACACAAAAAGGCAGUAAUGACUAUGCUGUGAACACCCAGAGCAAGCUACAUCCAUGCUGACACAGAAAGGAAGUUAUGACUAUGAUGUAAACACCCAGAGCACAAUACAUCCAUGCUGACACAGAAAGGCAGUAAUGACUAUGCUGUGAACACCCAGAGCACGCUACAUCCAUGCUGACACAGAAAGGAAGUAAUGACUAUGCUGUGAACACCCAGAGCAAGAUAUAUCCAUGCUGACACAGAAAGGCAGUAAUGAUUAUGCUGUGAACUCCCAGAGCAAGAUAAAUCCAUGCUGACACAGAAAGGCAGUAAUGACUACGCUGUGAACACCCAGAGCACAAUACAUCCAUGCUGACACAGAAAGGCAGUAAUGACUUGGUUGUAAACACCCAGAGCACAAUACAUCAAUGUUGACUCAGAAAGGCAGUAAUGACUUGGUUGUGAACACAGAACACGAUACACCAAUGCUGACACAGAAAGGCAGUAAUUACUUGGCUGUGAACACAGAGCACAAUACAUCCAUGCGGAAACAGAAAGGCAGUCAUGACUAUGCUGUGAACACCCAGAGCACGAUAAAUCCAUGCUGACACAGAAAGACAGUAAAGACUUGGUUGUAAACACCCAGAGCACAAUACAUCCAUGAUGACACAGAAAGGCAGUAAAGACCUUGUUGUAAACACUAAGAGAUCCAUACAUCCAUGGGGUGUGCCACAGCCCGAAUUACGCCCACUAUUGUGAACAAGGUGCUUAAAGUGAACAUGUCUGGUUUUGGUAUGAGGACUUAGCACUCCAAGCCUAAAAGGCCUCGCAUUGAAUUGAUGCAAGAGAAGGCAUUGAAAAAUAACAGCAGUUUUGUUGUGUGGUCCAGUACGCCCUUCGACUCUCAAUCUGAAGAAAGAAGAACUCAAACUCGGCUCUUAUCAAUAUCAGCAAGGCCAGCAUGUCAUAUCAGCUUCUUGAGCUUCAGAAAUUCAGCACGAAGACAUCUUGCGUCAGACUACCAAGCCUCCUAUCAAUAUCUCCUCCCAUGUUGGCUUCAUCAACACUUCCAACAGAGCCUUGGUGAGUUCGACUUCCGUCUCAGCAUCGAUGUCGCUUAGCAACAAUUGGAUGAUGGGCGUCGACAAAUUAGGCCGGACAAGUCGCUCAAACUGAAACGAUCUGAUCCAACAGGUAGAGCAGGCAUUGCGUGACACGUCCGUUAAUGUGACUGACCUCAUUAUGUUGUUCUCGAAUAAUGUGAACCUUAGGCCUGGAGAGCAGUUUGCGAUUGACGCCAUUCAACAACAGUUGUUGUUGGCAAUUCUCUGGUUUGGGGUGGGGACUUCGGCGUCAGGACUCGCUCCAUCUCUGUCCAUGGCCCAGUCGCAGCAGCAGCAACAAGAAAAAUAAAGCCUGUUCCUACAGGAACCUAUGCAAUCAUAGAUCGGUACCUAGCUGAACAACAGGCUGUAUGGUCAGCUGGUCCCAGACGCCCAGUGACACUUCCUGGCCCAGGACCUUGGGGCAAAUGCUCAACUAUACCUACCCGCAGGGUGGAGCCACUCUGAACCUGGGGCUCCAUACUUUCUUGGCCAGGGGCCAAGUUUACCUUGUCAAUAAGGUACAUGUAGGGACACAUUCCUUGGAUGCCCUAAGGUUUCUCUAUCUGUUCACAAAGGCUUUAUACUCACAAGUUCAAGCCCAGUGAGCGAUGUUCACAUUAUCAAACUCUGCAUAUCAAUAGAAUCCCAGAUAUCAAAGCGUUGAGCUUGUUCUUGAAGCAUUUGCACCAGCAACAGUCAUCAUCUCGAGUUACUGGCAUCUCUAUGGUGUGGAACCCUCCGUCUUUGAACAUCAUAACAGCACAUGAACCAGUGGCACUCAUCAUCUCAAGAUUCUGGUAUAUCCAUGGUGCAGGACCCUCGGUCUGCAAAGAUCAUGCAGAGCGAACCUCAGAUGCCAUUUGAUGAAAUCAAACCAUUCAAUCAGAAACACAGCCUGUUGCAGCAGUUGUUACCAUAUUGACCCCAGUCAAACCUAAGAAGUCCAUAGAUAAAUACUUUUUUAGAUGUGCUAGUCUUUACGUACCUCCUGGUUUGUUCAGCACUUACUCUGACUCUUUUAAUUUAAUGACGGGUGAAAAUGAAUGACCUUGUUCAGUUCGAAAUGACACAUCACAACAAUUCAAGUGGAAAGCCAGAAAGUCAUGUCAACAGCCACAUUUUGUAUGUGUAACAGCCAAGUUGUUUUUAAAGAAAAACAAUAUUUUACAUUUUAUUUUUUAUUUGACCAAUGUUUCAUGGGAAUUAUGAUGCUGUCAGUCUCUUUAUGUUGAAAGUUUUGGUUAAAAAUAGCAUGUUAAUUUUUUUUUUAAAGCACACAUAUUGCAUUUAUAUCCAAUGUCUUUGUCUGUAUAAUGAAUUUUUCACUACAUAUUUUGAUCCUUAUAAUGGUAAAUGUAUGGGAAAAACAAUUUUAUCAAAGAUAUUCUAAGAUUGUCAAGUCUGUUUAAAUGAUGCUGGUAACUUUGACAAAAUUGAAAAAAAAAGGAGUAUUUUCAUAUUAUAAGAUAUGUUUCAGUUGUCUGUUUUUACCCGUAAUAUAGAUAAGCUAAUUUAAUGAAUUGUUCACGAAGGUUUGUAACUUUUACACUUCAGCUUUUUCUGUCUUUUAAUCCUUCCGAAAACAAUACUAGUCAAUUUGCUGAUUUGGGUCGGUAUUCGAUCAUGAAUCUUGUUUAGUAGCAUACUAUUUCAUUGGAAUAAUAAUACAUUCUGGGAAAAAUUAUUUAAUCUAACUAAAAUUAUUGAUUCUGUAAAUACCACUUUGUUGAUUUCAAUGGAUAUUGUUUGUAAAAUAAUAUAGUAUGACUAUUGCGUGUUUGGGAAAGCUUUUAAUGAAACUGAGUAUUAUAAAAAACAAAAAAACAAAUAAAGAGUUUUAUGAAAAUUGUCAAAACUUAUUAUUGUUAAUUUGUGUUGUUAGAUCAUAGAUGUGUAUGCUCACAAUUGUUAAACUUUGUUUUUGGACACAAUAGUUCAUUAUGCGUAUCCUCUUUAAUAAGUGAGUAACUUAAUCAAGAUUUAUUGAUCACUGUAUAUAUUCUGUAGGUAUAUUUUGCCAUUUAUACAUAAAGCAACUGUAGAACAAUUGUAUUUUAAAUGUAAAUUAUUCUUGUAUUGUUGCCAUUUGUAUAAUAUAAACUAACUGUUUACCUUAGUUUGUAAAAACCUUUGUAAAAAAACAUUUUCUGUGUGAAUGCUCAUAUAUAUAUUAAACUGUUAAAAUAAUGCACAGUACCAGAAAAAAAUAGUCAAUUACACAGUAAGGGAAAGUGUUGUCAUAUGCUAACAAUUGUAUAAAAUUGCAAUUGUCUCUAUUUGUAAUAAUUAGAGAGCAAUAUUAUUUGCUUAAAAAAUAAAGAUGUCUGCUUUGUAAAUUAAUAAUUGUGUUUACAUCUCAACAUAACACGUAAAUACAUUAAAGUCUAAAAGGAUUUUUUUGAAUAAACACUUAAAUAAAUAUAUGUGCGUGUAUACGCUGAUAAAAUUUUUUUACAUUUCAUUUAGUUUUGUAACAGCGCAUUUGACCUUUCACGUUGACCAUCCCACACUUGCUGUCAGUGCAGUGCCUUCAUUAGGGUCAUUUUUAUGCUCCUGGUAGGGUGGCAUAUAGCAGUUGAACUGUCCGUCAGUAUGUCAGUCUGUCCUUUUGUCCGAAAAAAACUUAAACAUUGGCCAUAACUUUUUGAAUAUUGAAGAUAGCAACUUGAUAUUUGGCAUGCAUGUGCAUCUCAUGAAGCUGCACAUAUUGAGUGGUGAAAGGUGAUGGUCAAGGUCAUCCUUCAAAGUCAAAUGUCAAAUUUAUGGCGUCUGUCCGUCCGUCCAAAACUUUAACAUUGGCCAUAACUUGUUCAAUAUUGAAGAUAGCAACUUGAUAUUUGGCAGCCAUGUGUAUCUCAUGGAGCUACACUUUUGAGUGGUAAAAGGUCAAGGUCAUCCUUGAAGGUCAAAGGUCAAAAAAAAUAAUCAAAGUGGCGUUCCUAUGAAGCUGCACAUUGUGAGUGGUUCAAGGUCAAGGUCAUUAGUCAAGGUCAUCCUUCAAGGUCAAAGGUCAAAAAAAUAAUCCAAAGCAGCGUUCUCAUGAAGCUGCACAUUGUGAGUGGUGUGAGUUCAAGGUCAAGGCCAACCGUCAAGGUCAUCCUUCAAGGUCAAAAGUAAAAAAAAAAUUCAAAGCGGCGUCCUCAUGAAGCUGCACAUUUUGAGUGGUGGACGUUCAAGGUCAAGGUCAUCCUUCAAUGUCAAAGGUAAAAAAAAAAUCAAAGCGGCGCAAUAGGGGGCAUACUGUGUUUCUGACGAACACAUCUCUUGUUUGUAAAUAUCCCACUGUUUAAGUUCAGCAAAUGUUUUAAGACCAGAUUUCCUUAAACUUGGGGGUGUUAUUAUUUUACUUUUAUUGAAUGCAUGAAACAUGUGUGUUCCGUUGUUGAAUAGCUAAACAUAGCUUGAUGUGUGUAGAUUGUGUGACAAAUGUUGAUCAAAUUGUUACAUAGAAAAAAACACAAUCUUAGUUAACUUGUAUGUGUUAAUUACCAAACACAAAUAUAAGUAUUUUGUAACAAUAUAAGUAUUGUCUUUAUUUGAAAUACAGAAUGAAAUGCAAUUUUAAAAUCAUGUCUUUAUAUGUUCAUCUUCUCCAAAUAAGCAUUUUGAAUAAGCAAAUAUAAUAUCUCUAUGGAAAGUAUCCGUAGGCCCCAUGCAAUCGCUUGUGUACCUCAUAUUGAUCAGGGUCUUUCUAAAUUACUUCAUGAUUGGUUAUCCCUGUCUGAAUUGUGAAAAUAGCUUCAACAUGGUGAGAUAACUGUUAAGAGGAUUUCAAUAUUAAAAGUUAAAAUAGUAUCUUAGCUGUAACCGUACAUCUGUUGCAUUUAUUUUAACAUGUUUAUAUGUUCUGGCUCCCUGAGUUUUAUAUUGUUUAUAAUCUUGCAUAUUUAAUUGUGUUUUAUAAGACAAACAUCAUUAUACUGAUAAUGUUGUUUUUGUCCAACAUUUCUAUGUAUACAAGUUGUAUGUAAAUAAUUAAAUAUGUUUAUGUUGAUGAUAUGUAUUUCCCGAUCUAAGUUUGAUGUUGAACUCUCAAUAAACGACAUGUUUUGCCAAUUAAAUCCCGAAUGAUUG